CCGCGCGCAGUUCUCUCUUUGAAAGCUUUUAAUUUUGGAAAAGUUAGAUUGUCGUGUGGAUUGUAGGGCAUUCUCGGGUCCUGUUGUACCUGUUCUGAAAUUAUCAAGCUAUGUGAUUGUUGAUGAUAAGCUUGCAUUUUGUUUCCUAUUGGUCAUUAACUGCACACAUUUAACAAUGUUAUUUUGCAGGCAACUUGCUUAAACCUGUGGAUGUCUCAUCUGAUAUGGAUACCCGGCCUACUACUUAUGGUCAGCUAAAUCCUCCACUUAGGAAGCAUCGCCUAAAAGUAUGUUCCUUUUGGAGCAUACUCGUGCUUCCAGUAUUGAUUCAUGUGUAAAAAAUUGCUGACUAACUGCAAGUUUCCAUACAAUU
Molecule: long non-coding RNA, 373 nt
Filed under: Phoenix dactylifera (date palm)
Lineage: Eukaryota; Viridiplantae; Streptophyta; Magnoliopsida; Arecales; Arecaceae
Description: long non-coding RNA (PDAC_LNC000369)
Source: RNAcentral